AAAUAAGAAGCGAAAUAUUGCAAUCAGUUUCGACCUGAGUUAUGGCACCAAUAUGCCCUUAUUUA
Molecule: transfer RNA, 65 nt
Filed under: Sphingonotus ningsianus
Lineage: Eukaryota; Metazoa; Arthropoda; Insecta; Orthoptera; Acrididae
Also listed under: 3 other names
Description: tRNA-Arg
Source: RNAcentral